This 465-nucleotide ribosomal RNA is filed under the name uncultured bacterium. RNAcentral's name for it is "partial 16S ribosomal RNA". It matches the Rfam family "Bacterial small subunit ribosomal RNA", at positions 338 to 795 of the family's 1533-position model. The record is from RNAcentral.
CCUACGGGUGGCAGCAGUGGGGAAUAUUGCGCAAUGGGCGAAAGCCUGACGCAGCGACGCCGCGUGAGGGAUGAAGGUCUUCGGAUCGUAAACCUCUGUCAGCAGAGACGAACGGUCACUGUGCUAAUCAGCAGUGAAUUGACGGUCCCUGCAACGGAAGCCCCGGCUAACUCCGUGCCAGCAGCCGCGGUAAUACGGAGGGUGCGAGCGUUAAUCGGAAUUACUGGGCGUAAAGCGCUCGUAGGCGGUAUGUCAAGUCACGGGUGAAAUCCCCGCGCUAAACGUGGGAACUGCCUUUGAAACUGGGAAACUGGAGUGUGUGAGAGGAUAGUGGAAUUCCAGGUGUAGGAGUGAAAUGCGUAGAUAGAUGGAGGAACAUCAGUGGCGAAGGCGACUAUCUGGCACAUAACUGACGCUGAGGAGCGAAAGCGUGGGUAGCAAACAGGAUUAGAUACCCGUGUAGUC